This 381-nucleotide unclassified non-coding RNA is filed under the name uncultured bacterium. RNAcentral's name for it is "contains 16S-23S intergenic spacer region". The record is from RNAcentral.
UCCGAGUUGACCCCGGCGGUCUCCUAUGAGUUCCCACCAUUACGUGCUGGCAACAUAGAACGAGGGUUGCGCUCGUUGCGGGACUUAACCCAACAUCUCACGACACGAGCUGACGACAGCCAUGCAGCACCUGUGUUACGGUUCCCUUUCGGGCACUUUCCCAUCUCUGGGAAAUUCCGUACAUGUCAAGGGUAGGUAAGGUUUUUCGCGUUGCAUCGAAUUAAUCCACAUAAUCCACCGCUUGUGCGGGUCCCCGUCAAUUCCUUUGAGUUUUAACCUUGCGGUCGUACUCCCCAGGCGGGGUACUUCCUGCGUUAGCGCCGGCACCCAGAGGGUCGCUCCCCCAGGCACCUAGUACCCAUCGUUUACGGCGUGGACUAC